This is a long non-coding RNA of Etheostoma spectabile (orangethroat darter), 682 nucleotides long. RefSeq lists it as uncharacterized. The record is from RefSeq and is a predicted model, not a curated record. The transcript has 3 exons. Lineage: Eukaryota; Metazoa; Chordata; Actinopteri; Perciformes; Percidae.
AACACCCCACUACUCUCCUCACUGUGGACUGUCUGUUCUAUGAGCGCAAGCUCCUGGAGUGUACCCGCAAUGAGAUUGCGUGUAUGACUCCAGAGUUUCUGGGAAUUCCCCUUUCACAGGGACAUACCUCACAAGGCUUCAAAUACCAGCUCAUCAAAUUGUUGGAAGGGAGCUCUUGGACUUGGAUUGCUUGUGGUGUGGGGUCGGUUGCUGUCGGCCUGCUCGUCUUUUUUUUGAUCUACUUUAUGAUAAAACUGAAGUAGGAAGAUCUGCAAAGGCCAUCACAUGGCCCUUGAUCACACUCAAUGUGCUGUGUAAUGCAUGUGUAAUCAUCUGCAAUAAGUCAAAAACAAAAUUAUUUAGUUACUUGUAGUAUUGUUGAGAAAGCUUUUGGGCAGAAGCUUUAGAUCACUAAUAUUUUAAAAGAUAUAUAAAAGAUAAAAGAAAAACAGAUGCAUUAAGUGACUGGAUUUGAAAAAAGAAAAAAAGAAAAAAAGAAAUCCUUCCAUAAGAGAUUUUAAUGGAAGUGAUUCUUUUAUUAAGAUGUAAGGGUAACUUCACACGUUAGUAACAGGUACUUUUUAUAUAUAAUCUGUCAAAUUUUAAUUGCUGCUGCUUUGCUUUUCAUUAAAAUAUCAAAGUUUUUCCUUCAUAAAGAACCAAUCAAAAUGAUAAUAACGAC